GCUGCUCUGGUUCCUCGACCAAGAGGAUAAUCUCGUAGGCUUCCAGGUCGCCAGAAACGGGCGAGCGCCCAGGGCGCACGACGCGAGCCGCUUGGUGCGUGAUUGUGGCGCUCCCGAUCGCGCCAUCAGACGCAGACGCCGAGCCCUGCCGGAUGAAGGGAUGGACGACUGCACCCGCGCCCUCUUGUUGGCCAGUCGGCACCGCAGAAAAGAGACCGACAGAGGCCGAAUCGAGCGGACCAUAGGCAUGGGCGGCUUCGAUGACGACAGCGCGUGGUCUCACGGGCACGGCUCGGGCGCGCGCCAGACGGUCAAUCGUCACGUGGAUGCCGUCCCCAUGCGACGUCAUCCCCUCAAAGCCGGAAAACACCAGGCCGUCCCACUCGACGCGCUUUUCGCCGCCCACAAACUCGAUGCUGUCAAAGGCCAGAUGGAUCGUCCUCCAUCGACGCCCACUGUCGUCGGUGACGGCCUCGCCCACGCGAGAUGGCGGCUGGUAAAAAUGCUCUGGCACUAGGUCGCCGUGCUGGGCGAGGAUGGCCUCCCGAUCGGCCUCGCCUAGCAAUCCCAAGACGCGCCCCAACAGGCGGGUCUUGACGAUCGGUUCGAGGCCCGACGCGAGCAUGUGCCACACAAAAGAGGUUAGUUGGGCGCGUGCGUCGCUGGUGCCGCCGUCGCGCGUCUGCGCGGCGAUGGCCACGAGUAGGGCAUGCAGCACAAAGCGUACGAGGCGGCGUAUGUGGUGGCGAGGUGCUUCGACAAACAAAGCGGCGUGGAUCACGUCGACUGGGUCGCCGCACUCGACCACGCGCUCCACCCUGUCGUCGUCAUAGAGACAUUCGACGACAAAGGCCAGCGCCGCGGGAUCAAACGACAUCUCCAGCAGGUAGGCUGAGCGGCAGAUGCGAGAGCCAUCAGCGUCGCGUCGGUCCACGCGGUCCGGCUCGACGUGUCGAAACAGGGCACCAAAAUAGGCGGCCCUGGCGAGGAUGGCGCGGUGGGCUGCUAUCCUCGUGGGCGCGGCGCUCUCGUCGGUGCCGCAUAGGCGCACCUCCAAGAGACAGUCGCAGUGUUGGUGGCGCAUCGUGGCGAGGACGCGCUCGGCCCAUUGUGUCAUUUCUGUGCUGUGCAAUCCCCCUCGACCCUGCGUCGCCUCUCUAGCGCGUGUCUGCAGGUGCCGAGAACAAAUAAGGGUCGCAGUGCCUUUGGG
RNAcentral lists this long non-coding RNA (1210 nucleotides) under Pandoravirus salinus. RNAcentral describes it as "putative ncRNA". The record is from RNAcentral.